RNAcentral lists this ribosomal RNA (491 nucleotides) under uncultured bacterium. RNAcentral describes it as "partial 16S ribosomal RNA". It matches the Rfam family "Bacterial small subunit ribosomal RNA", at positions 29 to 506 of the family's 1533-position model. The record is from RNAcentral.
AGUGAACGCUGGCGGUAGGCCUAACACAUGCAAGUCGAACGGCAGCACAGUAAGAGCUUGCUCUUACGGGUGGCGAGUGGCGGACGGGUGAGGAAUACAUCGGAAUCUACUUUUUCGUGGGGGAUAACGUAGGGAAACUUACGCUAAUACCGCAUACGACCUACGGGUGAAAGCAGGGGAUCUUCGGACCUUGCGCGAUUGAAUGAGCCGAUGUCGGAUUAGCUAGUUGGCGGGGUAAAGGCCCACCAAGGCGACGAUCCGUAGCUGGUCUGAGAGGAUGAUCAGCCACAGGGGAACUGAGACACGCCCCAGACUCAUAGGGGAGGCAGGAGGGGGGAAUAUUGGACAAUGGGCGCAAGCCUGAUCCAGCCAUACCGCGAGGGUGAAGAAGGCCUGCGGGUUGUAAAGCCCUUUUGUUGGGAAAGAAAAGCAGCAGGUUAAUACCCCGCUGUUCUGACGGUACCCAAAGAAUAAGCACCGGCGAAUUUCGG